Molecule: ribosomal RNA, 1047 nt
Filed under: uncultured organism
Description: bacterial SSU rRNA
Rfam family: Bacterial small subunit ribosomal RNA
Source: RNAcentral
AACGGGUGAGUAACGCGUGGGUAACGUACCCUGAUCCUGGGAAUAACCCUCGGAAACGAGGGCUAAUACCGAAUGUGGCGAACGACCGGUUGGUCGCUCGCUAAAGGUGGCCUCUUCUAUGCUGCCGGGUUGGGAUCGGCCCGCGUCCCAUUAGCUAGUUGGUGAGGUAACGGCUCACCAAGGCCACGAUGGGUAGCCGGCCUGAGAGGGUGUACGGCCACACUGGCACUGAGACAAGGGCCAGUCCCCUAUGGGGGGCGCAGGCGGGAAUAGUUCACAAUGGGCGAAAGCCUGAUGACGCGACGCCGCGUGAGCGAAGAAGACCUUCGGGUUGUAAAGCUCUGUCAGGAGGGAAGAAGGCUCUACGGGUCAAUAGCCCGUGGGAUUGACGGUACCUCCAGAGGAAGCCCCGGCUAAAUACGUGCCAGCAGCCGCGGUAAUACGUAUGGGGCAAGCGUUGUCCGGAUUUACUGGGCGUAAAGGGCGCGUAGGCGGUUUGUUAAGUCGAAGGUGAAAUCCUCGGGCUCAACUCGAGAAUUGCCUUCGAUACUGGCAAACUAGAGUGGCGGAGAGGAAAGCGGAACUCUUGGUGUAACGGUGGAAUGUGUAGAUAUCAAGAGGAACACCGGUGGCGAAGGCGGCUUUCUGGACGCACACUGACGCUCAGGCGCGAAAGCGUGGGUAGCAAACAGGAUUAGAUACCCUGGUAGUCCACGCCAUAAACGAUGGGUACUAGGUGUCGGGGGUAUCGACCCCUCCGGUGCCGCAGUUAACGCACUAAGUACCCCGCCUGGGGAUUAUGGUCGCAAGGCUGAAACUCAAAGGAAUUGACGGGGCCCCGCACAAGCGGUGGAGCAUGUGGUUUAAUUCGACGCAACGCGAAGAACCUUACCUGGGCUUGACAUGCUUGGGACAGCGCUGGAAACAGCGUCUCUCUUUCGGGAGCCAUUGCACAGGUGCUGCAUGGCUGUCGUCAGCUCGUGUCGUGAGAUGUUGGGUUAAGUCCCGCAACGAGCGCAACCCUCGUUACUAGUUGCCAUCAGUUCG